GUACGUGCUGGACGAACCGUCGGCGGGUUUGCACCCCGCCGAUGCCGAACCGCUGCUCGAUGUGCUGGAUCGGCUUCGGCGCGCGGGCA
This 89-nucleotide transfer RNA is filed under the name Mycolicibacterium smegmatis MKD8. RNAcentral describes it as "tRNA-Ala". The record is from RNAcentral. Lineage: Bacteria; Bacillati; Actinomycetota; Actinomycetes; Mycobacteriales; Mycobacteriaceae.